This 227-nucleotide unclassified non-coding RNA is filed under the name Hevea brasiliensis (rubber tree). Lineage: Eukaryota; Viridiplantae; Streptophyta; Magnoliopsida; Malpighiales; Euphorbiaceae. The record is from RNAcentral.
UAUCAUCGUGGUAUUUUGAAGGUAUACCUGCCUUUCUUGAUCCCUGAGCAUGACCAUGACGACCAAGAAAUGCUGUAAGUAAAUUCUUACUCUUUCUGGCGUAUUCUUGCAUAUCUUUUGCACUGUUUCUUUCCGGGUUUAUGGACAUUGACAUCGCUCUCCGUGGCUCAGAUGGACACCUCUGUUUAAUACUGGAAGUGCUGGGUGAAAUUGAUCUGGUUACAGCG